Molecule: long non-coding RNA, 249 nt
Organism: Gigantopelta aegis
Lineage: Eukaryota; Metazoa; Mollusca; Gastropoda; Neomphalida; Peltospiridae
Exons: 5
Source: RefSeq, a predicted model, not a curated record
CAGGCAACACGUACAAUUUGUUUCCUUCAGUCGUACGAACAGAGAUUCUCAAAAUCUUCCAGCUCUGCCUGUGUUGGAGGAUAACGACUUGUAUUUCUCAUCAGGUGGUGUGAAGAAAAUGGACUUGCGAGUUUCACAGACGAGUCUCGUUCGUGAUGGAGCCCAGCAAAGCACCAGCACACAAAAUGAUGACAAGAAGGACAACAAAAAAGGCCAAAAAGAAAUGAAGAAAAUUCAAGGUGAAAAUGU